GUGAGAUAUAAGGCAGACACUGCAGGAAACUCCUCACUUCACUCUCUUCAUGUGAGCAGCCUGUCAGCUCCACUUGUUUCUUCUCUGGUUGGAGUUUCAGCACUUCCAGGAGGAUGGAGGUCUUUCUCUCUGAGAGGUUUAUGAACCAGACUGCAGGAGCUGACUGGAAAACUGACUGUAAUGAUGGAAGGAAACUCAAGCCUGUUUCAAUCUCACAGUCCUUCACAUGGGCGUACAGAUCCAACAGGAAAUCACAUUGAUAUUGAAGAUCUAUAUAUGUGUCAUUAACAGGGAAUGUUGGAUAUCUGCACACUGAUGAUAACAGCUCCAGUAUCUUCUCUCCUGUCUGCUGCUCUCUCUCUGCUGCUGCACAGAACAGAUUCCCAAAGAACCUGGCUUCUU
Long non-coding RNA from Oreochromis aureus, 402 nucleotides. The record is from Ensembl. Lineage: Eukaryota; Metazoa; Chordata; Actinopteri; Cichliformes; Cichlidae.